AACGAACGCUGGCGGCAUGCCUAACACAUGCAAGUCGAACGAGACCUUCGGGUCUAGUGGCGCACGGGUGCGUAACGCGUGGGAACCUGCCCUUAGGUUCGGAAUAACUCCCCGACAGGGGUGCUAAUACCGGAUAAUGUCUUCGGACCAAAGAUUUAUCGCCUUUGGAUGGGCCCGCGUUGGAUUAGCUAGUUGGUAGGGUAAAAGCCUACCACGGCGACGAUCCAUAGCUGGUCUGAGAGGAUGAGCAGCCACACUGGGACUGAGACACGGCCCAGACUCCUACGGGAGGCAGCAGUGGGGAAUAUUGGACAAUGGGCGAAAGCCUGAUCCAGCAAUGCCGCGUGAGUGAUGAAGGCCUUAGGGUUGUAAAGCUCUUUUACCCGGGAUGAUAAUGACAGUACCGGGAGAAUAAGCUCCGGCUAACUCCGUG
This 433-nucleotide ribosomal RNA is filed under the name uncultured bacterium. Its description in RNAcentral is "partial 16S ribosomal RNA". It matches the Rfam family "Bacterial small subunit ribosomal RNA", at positions 29 to 507 of the family's 1533-position model. The record is from RNAcentral.